ACGUAUGGUGCAAGCGUUAUCCGGAUUUACUGGGUGUAAAGGGAGCGCAGGCGGUGCGGCAAGUCUGAUGUGAAAGCCCGGGGCUCAACCCCGGUACUGCAUUGGAAACUGUCGUACUAGAGUGUCGGAGGGGUAAGCGGAAUUCCUAGUGUAGCGGUGAAAUGCGUAGAUAUUAGGAGGAACACUAGUGGCGAAGGCGGCUUACUGGACGAUAACUGACGCUGAGGCUCGAAAGCGUGGGGAGCAAACAG
Molecule: ribosomal RNA, 251 nt
Filed under: uncultured bacterium
Lineage: Bacteria
Description: partial 16S ribosomal RNA
Rfam family: Bacterial small subunit ribosomal RNA
Source: RNAcentral